AUGUUCACUGACAGCAGCCCGGCGUGGAUACCCCGAGCAGGAUACAGAGCGCCUGGGCAGAGCUUGCUCUGGCUGCUGGCUGCUGACACCGAGUCCCUGGGAAUAUUCAGGUGUGUGAGAAGCAGUCGAGGUGCUCCUGCAGCCAGGGCUCACGGAGCUGGAGGCAAACCUUCGCUUUGCCACUGCCUUUCUGCAGCUUCGUGGGGAAAGCAGCUCUGCCUUUGGCUUCCUUGGGCAAAUAUUUGGAUUCCCCACACCUCACCUCCAGGUGAAUACCUGGUCCUGUCCCUCGUGCAGCCUCAUGCCCAGGGCAGCAGUGCAGUGCCCAGCAGUGCCCUGCGCUCUCCACCAGCUGCUGGUUGUCUCUGCGUGGGUCAAGUGUUCCUCUGCCUAUCCUUGCUCUCCACCCAUGAGAUAGGGCUAAUGAUAUCCAGGUGGCUUCCCAGAGAGCUCUUUUAUUAUAAACAAAGGUUGGCUGCGAGGACCACGUGUCCUCGGGGUCUCUGUGUGUGUGCCUGGCCUCUUUGUUGGAAAUAUUUUGCCUUGGCCACGCUUACAGAGAGGAGCUUUCGGUGGUGGCAGCAAAACAUGCCUGAAGCUGCAGGAUUGGACCCCUGGGAGGAGGCGAGCGCGCAGUUCCCCCCGCAGAGCUGCACAGGGGAUGCGUUUAUCUCCCGUGCCCUUGUCAGAGGGAGCUGCGAGCAUCCCGCCUGCUCGCACCCAGCCUUACUGCUCCUCCUGCCCCCGGGGGGGCAGUGACCCGUGACGGCACGACGAAUGUGAAGGUGUCGGGCUGAGCGCUGGGGAAAUCCACCCGCACCAUCUGCACGUCGGGCCGGGCGAUGCUCUCCUUCUGACAGGGAGAUGAGAGAGGCAGGAGCCGGCGGCAGCAUCUGGCUUGCACAUCUGCUGGUGCUGCCCGGGCUCGGCACAGCUGGCAGUGCUGGGACGGGGCUCGGAGCCGUGCAGGGAGCAGUGCCCGUGUGGGUGCAGCAGGGCGAGGGCACGACGGUGCCUCCUGCACCCAGGGUCUGCCCUGCCCCGCACAGCCCAGGCUGCGAUCAGUGCUCUGCCCCCCAGAUGUGCUGAAUGUGCAGCACUUGGCAACGAGGUUCCUCUUUCUGAAUAUUUUUUCCACCCCUUCUCGUAACCCUCCUCCAGCCCUGGCCGUGCUGAGCCGUGGGGAUCUGCAGCAGAUGCUGGGCAGUGAGGGGCUGGGGAGGGGGCACGCGAGCUGGGCACGGAGCAAUCCUCGAGCUCAGGACCCUCUCCUUGGGAUUUGAGUUCAAGGACUUUGCCGUGCCAUAUUCCUGGUCUGUAAUGUCGAGCUGCUUCAGACCCAGCGAGCAGGGACGAAUCCUGCCUCCAGGAUGAGCAGCAGCCAGCCUGCCGGAGCCGCUUCCCCUUCUCCCUCCGUUCACCAGGCUCGGAGCUCCCUCCCCGGCUCUGCGCUCAUGGUCCCUCCUGGAGACUGCAGACAAAAACCUAAUUGCAUGACAUAAAUUAUUGCAACUCUCCAAAUAAAAGCCCAGGAAAAAAAAAAAAAGGCUGUGGC
Molecule: long non-coding RNA, 1555 nt
Filed under: Anas platyrhynchos platyrhynchos (common mallard)
Lineage: Eukaryota; Metazoa; Chordata; Aves; Anseriformes; Anatidae
Description: lncRNA (ENSAPLG00000018226.1)
Source: RNAcentral